RNAcentral lists this transfer RNA (77 nucleotides) under Allohoeflea poritis. Its description in RNAcentral is "tRNA-Arg". It matches the Rfam family "tRNA". From Rfam's summary of the family: Transfer RNA (tRNA) molecules are approximately 80 nucleotides in length. Their secondary structure includes four short double-helical elements and three loops (D, anti-codon, and T loops). The record is from RNAcentral. Lineage: Bacteria; Pseudomonadati; Pseudomonadota; Alphaproteobacteria; Hyphomicrobiales; Rhizobiaceae.
GCACCCGUAGCUCAGCUGGAUAGAGCGCCGCCCUCCGAAGGCGGAGGCCAGAGGUUCGAGUCCUCUCGGGUGCGCCA